This 254-nucleotide ribosomal RNA is filed under the name uncultured bacterium. RNAcentral's name for it is "partial 16S ribosomal RNA". It matches the Rfam family "Bacterial small subunit ribosomal RNA", at positions 524 to 776 of the family's 1533-position model. The record is from RNAcentral.
UACGUAGGGGCCAAGCGUUGUCCGGAUUUAUUGGGCGUAAAGAGCUCGUAGGCGGUUCGGCAAGUCAGCUGUGAAAUCUCCACGCUCAACGUGGAGGGGUCAGCUGAUACUGCUGUGACUUGAGUCCGGUAGGGGAGAGUGGAAUUCCUGGUGUAGCGGUGAAAUGCGUAGAUAUCAGGAGGAAUACCGGUGGCGAAAGCGACUCUCUGGACGGCAACUGACGCUGAGGCACGAAAGCGUGGGGAGCAAACAGG